This 497-nucleotide ribosomal RNA is filed under the name uncultured bacterium. RNAcentral's name for it is "partial 16S ribosomal RNA". It matches the Rfam family "Bacterial small subunit ribosomal RNA", at positions 28 to 507 of the family's 1533-position model. The record is from RNAcentral.
GAUGAACGCUGGCGGCGUGCCUAAUACAUGCGAGUCGAGCGAACAGACGAGGAGCUUGCUCCUCUGACGUUAGCGGCGGACGGGUGGGUAACACGUGGAUAACCUACCUAUAAGACUGGGAUAACUUCGGGAAACCGGAGCUAAUACCGGAUAAUAUAUUGAACCGCAUGGUUCAAUAGUGAAAGACGGUUUUGCUGUCACUUAUAGAUGGAUCCGCGCCGCAUUAGCUAGUUGGUAAGGUAACGGCUUACCAAGGCAACGAUGCGUAGCCGACCUGAGAGGGUGAUCGGCCACACUGGAACUGCAACACGGUCCAGACUCCUACGGGAGGCAGCAGUAGGGAAUCUUCCGCAAUGGGCGAAAGCCUGACGGAGCAACGCCGCGUGAGUGAUGAAGGUCUUCGGAUCGUAAAACUCUGUUAUUAGGGAAGAACAAAUGUGUAAGUAACUAUGCACGUCUUGACGGUACCUAAUCAGAAAGCCACGGCUAACUACGUG